AGCUCCAAUAGCGUAUAUUAAAGUUGCUGCAGUUAAAAAGCUCGUAGUUGCAUUUCCGAGGCAAGGGAUUAGUCCGACCUUUGGUGGGUAUUUAAUCCUCUUGCCUCGUCCUUGAGUGGUGCUUCUUGGUAUUAAGUUAUCGAGGAGAUAGCCGCUCAUCGUUUACUGUGAGAAAAUUAGAGUGUUCAAAGCAGGCUUAUGCCGUUGAAUAUAUUAGCAUGGAAUAAUAAGAUAGGACCUCGGUACUAUUUUGUUGGUUUGAGAACCAAGGUAAUGAUGAAUAGGGACAGUUGGGGGUAUUCGUAUUCAGUUGUCAGAGGUGAAAUUCUUAGAUUUACGGAAGACGAACUACUGCGAAAGCAUUUACCAAGGAGGGUUUCA
This 381-nucleotide ribosomal RNA is filed under the name uncultured marine Chaetocerotaceae. RNAcentral's name for it is "SSU rRNA". It matches the Rfam family "Eukaryotic small subunit ribosomal RNA", at positions 587 to 972 of the family's 1831-position model. The record is from RNAcentral. Lineage: Eukaryota; Bacillariophyta; Thalassiosirophyceae; Chaetocerotales; Chaetocerotaceae.